Molecule: ribosomal RNA, 500 nt
Filed under: uncultured Glomeromycotina
Lineage: Eukaryota; Fungi; Glomeromycota
Description: partial small subunit ribosomal RNA
Rfam family: Eukaryotic small subunit ribosomal RNA
Source: RNAcentral
CCAAUAGCGUAUAUUAAAGUUGUUGCAGUUAAAAAGCUCGUAGUUGAAUUUCGGGAUCAGUUCGUCGGUCGUGCCUUUGGUAUGUACUGGUGUUACUGGUUCCUCCCUUCUGACGAACCGUCAUGUCAUUAAUUUGGUGUGGCGGGAAAUCAGGACUGUUACCUUGAAAAAAUUAGAGUGUUUAAAGCAGGCUCGCGCUUGAAUACAUUAGCAUGGAAUAAUGAUAUAGGACGUUCGAUCCUAUUUUGUUGGUUUCUAGGAUUGACGUAAUGAUUAAUAGGGAUAGUUGGGGGCAUUAGUAUUCAAUUGUCAGAGGUGAAAUUCUUGGAUUUAUUGAAGACUAACUACUGCGAAAGCAUUUGCCAAGGAUGUUUUCAUUAAUCAAGAACGAAAGUUAGGGGAUCGAAGACGAUCAGAUACCGUCGUAGUCUUAACCAUAAACUAUGCCGACUAGGGAUCGGAUGAUGUUAAUUUUUUAAUGACUCAUUCGGCGCCUUACG